UACGUAGGGAGCAAGCGUUAUCCGGAUUUAUUGGGUGUAAAGGGUGCGUAGGCGGUAAUACAGGUCUUUGGUAUAAGCCCGAAGCUUAACUUCGGUAAGCCAGAGAAACCGUAUAACUAGAGUAUGGUAGAGGCAAGUGGAAUUUCUAGUGUAGCGGUAAAAUGCGUAGAUAUUAGAAGGAACACCAGUGGCGAAGGCGACUUGCUGGGCCAAAACUGACGCUGAGGCACGAAAGCGUGGGGAGCAAAUAGG
RNAcentral lists this ribosomal RNA (252 nucleotides) under uncultured bacterium. Its description in RNAcentral is "partial 16S ribosomal RNA". It matches the Rfam family "Bacterial small subunit ribosomal RNA", at positions 524 to 776 of the family's 1533-position model. The record is from RNAcentral.